AAGGACUAAACAAGCGAAUUGCACACACGUGUAAAAGUUCUUUUGAUUGAUAGGAGGAACAAUUUGAAAUUGAGUAAAUUUAAAAUCGAUUCCCUCCUCCGUGUAGGGUUGUUUUCUUUUCGGAGCCAUCGCUUUAAAUCACAGGGCUUGAAAAGGAAAUUUCGUUACGGUGUAGUUGGGCCAAGUCGUGUUGGUUACUUUGCGAAACUUGACAUGAUUAAAGGAUGUGCGUGUGUAGGUAGGAAUGAAUUGCGACAAAGAGGAAUUUUAAAAGAAGAAAGUGAUACAUUACAAUUUAACUCAUUUAUUCAUGCCUAAUUAAAUAAGUAUGAAAAAUGCCAACUUGAAAACUCUAUUUGACUCCACAUCCUAUGUACUUUAAAAGCUUACAGUUUGUAGUUAGAGUUGUUUAAAUUGGAUGUGAUGUUUUUGUGAAGAGACACAGAUUAUAUUUCGUAUUUUUUCACUUUCAAUCACUUCUUUGUUUUCUACUUUGAAUUGUUUCCUGGGUGAAGAGUGCAAUGACUGUUACUGUAAGAACAAUUGGCAUAUGUUAACGUUUCAAGGACUUUUGUAUUUUAUUUUCUCUUGUUAAAGAUUACACAUUACUCAACUUGAAUUGUAUUAGACACGGGAAUUAACUAAUGAAGCUACAUUGGAAUAUGAAUGAUGUAAAACGAAAAAAGAAGACACAUGUACAAGAUUUACACUGU
Non-coding RNA from Schizosaccharomyces pombe (fission yeast), 713 nucleotides. NCBI's taxonomy places the organism in Eukaryota, Fungi, Ascomycota, Schizosaccharomycetes, Schizosaccharomycetales, Schizosaccharomycetaceae. The record is from the annotation of a GenBank genome assembly.